ACUCAAAGGAAUUGACGGGGACCCGCACAAGCGGCGGAGCAUGCGGAUUAAUUCGAUGCAACGCGAAGAACCUUACCAAGGCUUGACAUGCACCGGUACAGUGUAGAGAUAUGCUGGCCUUUUUGGCUGGUGUGCAGGUGGUGCAUGGUUGUCGUCAGCUCGUGUCGUGAGAUGUUGGGUUAAGUCCCGCAACGAGCGCAACCCUUGUCUCGUGUUGCCAGCAUUUGGUUGGGGACUCUCGGGAGACUGCCGGGGUUAACUCGGAGGAAGGUGGGGAUGACGUCAAAUCAUCAUGCCCCUUAUGUCUUGGGCUUCACGCAUGCUACAAUGGAUGGUACAGUGGGUUGCGAUACUGUGAGGUGGAGCUAAUCCCUUAAAGCUGUUCUAAGUUCGGAUCGUAGUCUGCAAUUCGACUGCGUGAAGGUGGAGUCGCUAGUAAUCGCAGAUCAGCAUUGCUGCGGUGAAUACGUUCUCGGGUCUUGUACACACCGCCCGU
This 496-nucleotide ribosomal RNA is filed under the name uncultured bacterium. RNAcentral's name for it is "bacterial SSU rRNA". It matches the Rfam family "Bacterial small subunit ribosomal RNA", at positions 899 to 1397 of the family's 1533-position model. The record is from RNAcentral.